ACUCUCUUUCCUCUUCUUUCCUUCUCUCAUUCCCCCUGUUUCUCUUCCCUCCAUUUCUCUUCCCUCCGUUUCUCUUCUGUUUCUCUUCCCUUUCUGUUCCCUUCUUUCCUUCCUCCCUUCAUCUUUCCCUCUCUUUUCCUGCCCCCUCUUUUUUUUCCCUCUUCCUCCCUCUCCCUUUGCCUUUCCCUUCCCUGCUCUCCUUCCCUCUUUUCCUCUCCCUCUUUAUCAUGCUUUCCCUCGCUCUGUCUUGUUCUUUCUCCCUCUCGCCCUCCCUCUCUCCUCCGUUUUCCCCCUUUCCCUCUCUCCUCUCUUUUUCUGUCUUUCUUUCUCCCUCUCUCAUUCUUUCCCAUUCUCUCUCUCUCUCCCCGAUUCUCCCUCCCUCUUUCUCUCUGCUCCCUCUCUUUCCUGCUCUCUUGCUCUCCCUCUCUGCCUCUUCAUCCCACUUUCCCUUUCUCUCUUUCUCUCUGCCUGUUUCUGUGGUGCCCACUUUGUCUCACUCUCUUUCUUUCACUCUCUUCCUUUCUUUCGCUCUCCCUCUCUCCUCCUUUCUCUCUCUUUCUCCCUUUCUGUCCUUCUCUCCUUUCCUUCUUUGCCUCUUUCCUCUCUUUUGUUCUUAUACUUUCUCUCCCCUUCUUUCUUUCUCUCUUCCCCCAACUUCUUCUGUUUUCUCCCCUUCUUUCACUCUCCCUUUCUUUCUCUCCCUUCACUCCUUCUUCCUUUCUCCUUCCCUCUUUCUUUCUCUUUCUUUUCUUUCCCUUCCUCCUCUUUCUCUCUUUCACUCUCUCCCCCUUCUCAUGCUUUCCCUUUCUGUCUUGUUCUUUCUCUCUCCCUCUUCUCUCCCUUUCUCCCUCCUCUUUCCUUCUCCUCUUCUCUAUUUCAUUCUCUCCCCUUCCCUCUCUUUCCCCUUAUCUCUCACCUCUUUCUCCUUUUCCUUGUCUGUUUUUUCCAUUCUUCUCUGACCCUCUCUCACUCUUCUUAUCAAACUGUCCCUCUUCCUCCCUCUUCCUCCCUUUUUCUGUCUUCUUCCUGUCUCUCAAUUUCUCUCCCUUUCUUCCCUUUUCUUUCUUGCUUUCUCUCAGCCUCUCCUCCUCUCCCUUGCUUUCUCUUCUGCUUUCUUUUCUCUUCCUUUCUCUCUCUCUUCUUUCUCUCUGUUCCUUUCUCUCCCUUUUUCUCUCUUCCAUUCUCUUCCUCUUUUUUCUCUUCUUUUCUCCCCCUUUUUCUCCCUUCUUUCUCUCCCUCUUUCUCUUUUCUCUCUCCCUUUCUCUCCCUCCCUUUCUUCUUCCUUUCUUUUUCACUCCUUUUCUCUUUUCUUCUCUCUCCUUCUGUUUCUGUCUCCCCGUCUCUUCUUCAUCUUUUUCUGUAAUCUCACUCCCUUUCUCUCUUCUUUCUCCAUUUCUCUCUCCUGCUCUUUUUUCUUGUUGUCUCUCCUUCCCUCCCUCCCUCUCUCCUUCUCUCUUCCUUUCUCUCCCUCCCUUUCUCUCAAUCUUCUUUUUCUCUUCUCUCUCAUUCCUUUUCUCUUCCUUUUUCUUCCUCUUUCUUGCCCUCUCUCCUUCUUCCUCCGUCUCUCUGCUCUCUCCUUCUGUUCUUCUCUGCCUCUCUCUGUCUCCUCUCUAUCACUUUUUCUACCGUUUCCUCUUUCUCCCUCUCUUCUUUCUUUUUUGCUUUCUUCCUCUGUCCUUCUGUAUCUCUUCCUCUCAUUCCCUAUUUUCUCACUCCUGUUCUCACUUUCUCUCACCCCUUCCCUCCUUUCUCUUUACCUCACUUUCUUUCCCUCUCUUUUGCUUUUCUCUCAUCUCUUUUUCCUUCUUGCUCCUUUUCUUUCCCUCUGCCUCCCUCUUUCUCUUUCUUAUACUUUCUCCCCCUUCCUUCUCGCUUUCUCCCUCUUUCUGCCUUUUCUUCUCUUCCUUUCCUUCUUUCCCUCUUCUUAUUCUUUCUCCUUCCCUUUCUUUCCCUUUCUCUCUCCCUCUUUCAUGCUCUCCCUUUUUCUUUCUCCUUCUCUUUCUGCUUUUCUUCCUCUUUAUCCCUCUUCCUCCCUUUCUUACUCUUUUCUCUCCUUUUCUUUCUCUCCCUCUCUCCCCCCUUUCUCUUUCUCUUGUUCUCUUUUUAUCUCUAUUUUCCCCUUUUCUGUCUCUUUCUCCCUCUCUUCUUUCUUACUUCUGUCUCUCCUUUUUUCACUGUCAUUUUUUCUUUCUCCAUCUUUCUCCCUUUCUCACUCCCUUUUCUCUCUACCUCUUUCUUUCUUCCUUUUCAUCCCUCUUUUUUCUUCCUCUCCCCUUCUCUUUUUCUAUCUCACAUUUUUUCUCCUCUUUAUUUCUCCCUCUCCUUUUCUUGCUCUUUCUCUUUUGCUCUUUCUCACUUUCGCUCUCACCCCAUUUUUCUCCCACUUUGUUUCCAUCUUUCUCCCUCUUCCUCCCCCUUUCUUUUUCUUUCUCUCUACCUUGUUCUCUCGUUCUCUUUACCUCUCUCUUCUCUCCUCUUCCUCCUUCUCUCUUCUCUCCCUUCCCUUCUUUCCCUCUCUCAUCUCUUCUCUUUCUGUGCUUGUCUCUUGUCUUCCCUUGCUCUAUUUCUUUCUCUCUGAUCUCGCUCUCUUCUCUCUGUGCUUCUUGUUCAUUCAUUCUUUCUCUCUCCUUUUUUUACCCCUCUUCUUUCUCUCUCUUGCUUGCUCUCUUCCUUUUUUCUUCAUUUUCUUUCCCUCCCUUCCCCCCUUUUUCUCUUUUCCUCUCUCCUUCUCUCUUUUCUUUUUUCUUUCUUCCUCUCUCCUUCCAUCUCUCUCUUGCUCUCUCUCUCAUUAUCCUUCAAGUCAUUUGUUCCUUGCAAACUACUUGA
Struthio camelus australis is the source of this 2826-nucleotide long non-coding RNA. The record is from Ensembl. NCBI's taxonomy places the organism in Eukaryota, Metazoa, Chordata, Aves, Struthioniformes, Struthionidae.